CACGUAGGGGGCAAGCGUUGUCCGGAUUUAUUGGGCGUAAAGCGUCCGCAGGUGGCUAUGUAAGUCUGCUGUUAAAGAGUGAGGCUCAACCUCAUAAGAGCAGUGGAAACUACAUGGCUAGAGUGCGUUCGGGGCAGAGGGAAUUCCUGGUGUAGCGGUGAAAUGCGUAGAGAUCAGGAAGAACACCGGUGGCGAAAGCGCUCUGCUAGGCCGCAACUGACACUGAGGGACGAAAGCUAGGGGAGCGAAUGGG
This 253-nucleotide ribosomal RNA is filed under the name uncultured bacterium. RNAcentral's name for it is "partial 16S ribosomal RNA". It matches the Rfam family "Bacterial small subunit ribosomal RNA", at positions 524 to 776 of the family's 1533-position model. The record is from RNAcentral.